GCGUGGAUGUCCGGCCUCCUGCAGUUGCAGAUCCCCGUUGGAUAAGCUGCUCCCAUGCAGGUUGGGUUCAAGGCCAUGCCUUGCUGGGAGAGGAGGGUGUCCCUAAUGGACACCUUGGAAGGUCUUCUCUCGCCCAUCUCCUCUGUUCGGUUCAGUUCUCUGCCAAUUCAGUUUCCUUUCUAAUUCUCGCAACAUGAACAACUUGUUACAGCUGAAGCAGCAUUAGAGUUGACAGAAAGAGCUAGGCCAUAAUUGAACUUGUUCAGACCUUGAACCUGCUUUAAGCUCAGCUACAGUAGAUGAUUCAGCAUUGAACUGUCAUUCUCGGAUAUGCAUUGAACUGUAAAAGAUUCAUCCAAAUAAAUUAUACAAAGAGAUUGUAGAAAUACCACAAAUCGGAAGUGGGUCAUCGCUUAACAAAGAACUUGUACAUGAUGUAAGCAAAUCAUGGGAGGAUCCAGCCAUUGAGAUGAAAAUAAGUUCUUAUUUCAGUUUCUAGAAUGGUGUAUACUGUCAAACAACCAACUAAAUCCAUCUGUAGGGAACUUACUUGUGUGCAAGUGUGGUGCAACUUCCUGACUGCACAUUACUUCACGGUAAAUCUGGGUUGAGCAGCUCAAGAAGAUUACGUACCAACAAAGGUCCGUGCUUACCCACACUCUAAUUCAUGCUCGAGCUCGAUGACUCCAGCUUGGCCACCACGACGCAGCGCACCACAACAGAAAUUGCUCAAGUCAUGGAUCCGCAUGGUCAUCGCUGACCGUCCAAGAUCGACGACGAGAUGAGGCCGACCAUCGUCAAGCAGCGCCAUGUCCCGAUGGAGGCCGGCCGUAUUCGGUCGAUUCCGUCCCACCCCUUUACCAGCAGGGCUGCCCCCCUUCUUCAGCGGGGUGUGGCACAUUGCUGUUGCGGUGUCCCUUGACGACGGCCUCCCUCCCGACGGGCUGCAGGACCAUGGGAAGAUUGACUCGCAGCGCACACUGCUUCAGUGGCCGCUUCGAGUUUGAUGACUUGGAGGGAUCAAAGUCAAGGGACCCUAGCAACAAGUUUCAUCCCUAGAAGCCUUCCUCCCUCCUGAUCAACUUCUGUCAUGUGUGUCAUUUAGUUUCAGCUUCAUCAACAGGAUGGAUUCGGUACCAUAGAGAUUGGCCCCGCUGCCAUGCGAAUGAGGCGUGUUUUUCAGCAUCGGCUACAAAAUCGCCAUGCAUCAGGAUGAAUUCGCUACUGCAGAGGUGAAAGGGCUCAUUAAAUCGUGCCGGGGAAGGGGCGCGGCGGCCUCGGCGGCAUCUUCCGUUGGACGGACCCAUUUUCGCCGGCGACGCUGUUUGGACAACUCAACAAACAAGAAAUGGAUGCUUACCUGAACAUGAACCUUGAGUUUGACCGCCAGCUUGUCUGCAGUUUGUGGAAAUCCAGCCAAGGAGAAGCAACUCUGGCCGAUGUGGUGAGCAAGGUGCUCGUUCAACAUCACCACCAGCCCAGUGUCCCUAGUUCUGACACUGCCAUACGCCGACACCAACUCCUCCGUCCUCCUACUUGUUGUACAAUUCGGGAUCAGGAAUCGGGAUUUUCCUACAGGGGAGAGGUUCCUCAGCAACCGAUGUGAACCCCAAACUACACCAGAACGAUGCUCACUCCGAGCCGCCAUCGACAGCUGCACUUCGUCGUUGGGAUCCGUGACGGGGAUGGGGGAUUUUACUGGAGACUCAAACCCCUGUUUGGAUCCGGCACCCGACCCGGGUCUCCUAAGACGAGAAUCGAUUGGCUCAUGAUACCAAUUGUAAGGUUCAGAGUUUUUACACAAUGUAGCACUAACAGAAAUGGAAUUCAGACAAGAGGAAAGCAGUAAAGCAAAAGAGAUAAGCUACAGUGGUGUUGUCGGAAUUUGAACAGCGACGUCCAGGAGCAGCUUCGCUGGUGGAUCAGAGAUCGACGAUAGACACAUCAGCACAUAGGCGCGAAGCGGCAUGAAGUGGCUUGGGUGGUAGGAUCGAAGAUCUACUGAUGAAAUCCAAUCUGGCAACUGAAGAUAACUGAAACUAUUGGGCACCUGCAGCUCGACACAAACAGAGUUCCUGACAAAUGUCAGUACUGCCACUUGUGAAGGAGAAUAUGAAAGCCAUGCAGCUAUCAACACCGUGGUCCUACACUAUACCCAAAUCAGGAAUUCAAGAGGCAGAGGGGAGGAGCUAGUACGACUCACCCUGCCUCCUAGUACAUACAGGAUGCCAUGGAAGGUCCUAUCCUCUCAGUUAGUCAAAUGUUCGCCGUCAAGCAUCCUACUGACAUGGCUGACUAACCUUGCACUGUGUCAUGUUUCUCCCGCACGAAGCAACGGAGGAUCAUCAUGUUUUCUGUUUGUUGGUGCCACGACGCGGCACCCGUGGAUUUACUCUUUUUUUGUAGUCAUGUAGCUUUUGUUGGGUUUGGAUGCUGGCUUGUACUGGGAGCGGAUUUUGUUUUGGUUUGGAUAGCUUUGUUUCCAUGAUGGAGCAGGGCCUCGAGUCCUGAAAAAUUACCUUUUCUAAUUCUGUAGUAGCUGUGUGUGAGAAAGAAAGAAAGAAAGAAAGAAGCUUUUUCAUUAUCUAAACGGAAUGUAUCCUUUUGUAAUCCUGUACUAGGAUGCAAUCAAAUAACUGAAUGUUUCCUUUUCUGAUGAUCUAAAUAAAGAAUCACAUAAACAAUUUGAGGAUC
This is a long non-coding RNA of Triticum dicoccoides, 2694 nucleotides long. RefSeq lists it as uncharacterized. NCBI's taxonomy places the organism in Eukaryota, Viridiplantae, Streptophyta, Magnoliopsida, Poales, Poaceae. The transcript is spliced from 10 exons. The record is from RefSeq and is a predicted model, not a curated record.